CUGCUGACAGGUGCUGUCAGCACUGGAAAGCUGGAAGCUCCUCAAAAUAUAGACUUAAACUAAUAACUACAAUUAAUAAUAGUAAUUAAGUGCCAUCUUGCACUUUCCAGUCCAAACAGGGCCCCUCAUCUUCUUGCAGCAGAUGAGAUGAAUGAUUCGCCUGCACACAGCCUCUGUGGAGGGAGAUAUCAUGGUAGAUUCGCAUU
Molecule: long non-coding RNA, 206 nt
Filed under: Fukomys damarensis (Damara mole-rat)
Lineage: Eukaryota; Metazoa; Chordata; Mammalia; Rodentia; Bathyergidae
Description: lncRNA (ENSFDAG00000029749.1)
Source: RNAcentral